GGGAUAUCGUGACAUAUCGGGGUCAUUGGGGUCACUGGGGACACGUCAGGACGGCCGGUGAGGGACAUGUCGCGAUAUAUCGCGAUAUAUCGGGGGAUAUCGGGGGAUAUCGGGGGGAUAUCGUGAUAUAUCGCGAUAUAUCGGGGGAUAUCGGGGGAUAUCGGGGGGAUAUCGUGAUAUAUCGCGAUAUAUCGGGGGAUAUCGUGACAUAUCGGGGGGUAUCGGGGUCAUUGGGGUCACCAGGGACACGUCAGGACGGCCGGUGAGGGACCUGUCGCGAUAUAUCGGGGGAUAUCGGGGGGAUAUCGUGAUAUAUCGCGAUAUAUCGAGGGGUAUUGGGGUCAUUGGGGUCACCAGGGACACGUCAGGACGGCCGGUGAGGGACAUGUCACGAUAUAUCGCGAUAUAUCAGGGGAUAUCGUGACAUAUCGGGGGGAUAUCGUGAUAUAUCGCGAUAUAUUGGGGGAUAUCGUGACAUAUCGGGGGGAUAUCGUGAUAUAUCGCGAUAUAUCGGGGGAUAUCGGGGUGAUAUCGUGACAUAUCGUGACAUAUUGGGGUCACUGGGGACACGUCAGGACGGCUGUGCCGCUGCCGCCCCCCAAGACGCUGCAGCAGGUGGAGGUGCCUCUGCUGAGUCAGCGCCACUGCCACUGCCUGUACGGGAAACACCUGGGGACACACCUGGGGACACCUGAGAGACACCUGGGGACANCCAGGUGACCCCAGGUGUCCCCGCAGUGCCGCUGCCGCCCCCCAAGACGCUGCAGCAGGUGGAGGUGCCUCUGCUGAGUCAGCGCCACUGCCACUGCCUGUACGGGAAACACCUGGGGACACACCUGGGGACACCUGAGAGACACCUGGGGACACCUGAGACACACCUGGGGACAGCUGAGAGACACCUGGACACACCUGAGAGACACCUGGGGACACCUGAGAGACGCCUGGGGACACCUGAGACACACCUGGGGACACCUGAGAGACGCCUGAGGACAUCGGGGACACACCUGGGGACACCUGAGAGACACCUGGGGACAGCUGAGACACACCUGGGGACAUCGAGGACACAGCUGGGGACAUCGGGGACACACCUGAGGACAUCGGGGACACACCUGAGGACAUCGGGGACACACCUGAGGACACACCUGGACACGCCCCUGGAGGACAUGGGGUUACCUGCCGAGGACACCGUGUGUGCCGGGUACCCCGAGGGACAGCGCGACGCCUGCCAGGGUGACUCCGGGGGUCCCCUCUGUUGCCGCCUGGGCGGUUCCUGGCACCUGGUGGGCGUGGCCAGCUGGGGCGUGGCCUGCGG
RNAcentral lists this long non-coding RNA (1312 nucleotides) under Parus major (Great Tit). RNAcentral's name for it is "lncRNA (ENSPMJG00000003128.1)". Lineage: Eukaryota; Metazoa; Chordata; Aves; Passeriformes; Paridae. The record is from RNAcentral.